Molecule: ribosomal RNA, 253 nt
Filed under: uncultured bacterium
Lineage: Bacteria
Description: partial 16S ribosomal RNA
Rfam family: Bacterial small subunit ribosomal RNA
Source: RNAcentral
UACGAAGGGGGCUAGCGUUGCUCGGAAUUACUGGGCGUAAAGGGCGCGUAGGCGGCUCUGUUAGUCAGGCGUGAAAGUCCUGGGCUCAACCUGGGAACUGCGCUUGAUACGGCAGAGCUAGAGGAUGGAAGAGGCUCGCGGAAUUCCCAGUGUAGAGGUGAAAUUCGUAGAUAUUGGGAAGAACACCGGUGGCGAAGGCGGCGAGCUGGCCUGUACCUGACGCUGAGGCGCGACAGCGUGGGGAGCAAACAGG